This 77-nucleotide transfer RNA is filed under the name Acidobacteriota bacterium. RNAcentral describes it as "Acidobacteria bacterium (activated sludge metagenome) tRNA-Met". It matches the Rfam family "tRNA". Rfam says of the family: Transfer RNA (tRNA) molecules are approximately 80 nucleotides in length. Their secondary structure includes four short double-helical elements and three loops (D, anti-codon, and T loops). Further hydrogen bonds mediate the characteristic L-shaped molecular structure. tRNAs have two regions of fundamental functional importance: the anti-codon, which is responsible for specific mRNA codon recognition, and the 3' end, to which the tRNAs corresponding amino acid is attached (by aminoacyl-tRNA synthetases). tRNAs cope with the degeneracy of the genetic code in two manners: having more than one tRNA (with a specific anti-codon) for a particular amino acid; and 'wobble' base-pairing, i.e. permitting non-standard base-pairing at the 3rd anti-codon position. RNAcentral also lists the same sequence under 2 other names. The record is from RNAcentral. Lineage: Bacteria; Pseudomonadati; Acidobacteriota.
GCCGGAGUAGCUCAGUUGGUGAGAGCACGCGUCUCAUAAGCGCGGGGUCGGCGGUUCAAGUCCGCCCUCCGGCACCA